AGUUUGAUCAUGGCUCAGGAUGAACGCUGGCGGUAUGCUUAACACAUGCAAGUCGAACGGAUGUUUUCGGACAUUAGUGGCGGACGGGUGAGUAACGCGUGAGAAUCUAGCUUCAGGUUGGGGACAACAGUUGGAAACGACUGCUAAUACCGAAUAUGCCGAGAGGUGAAAGAUUUAUUGCCUGAAGAAGAGCUCGCGUCUGAUUAGCUAGUUGGUGGGGUAAGAGCUUACCAAGGCGACGAUCGGUAGCUGGUCUGAGAGGACGAUCAGCCACACUGGGACUGAGACACGGCCCAGACUCCUACGGGAGGCAGCAGUGGGGAAUUUUCCGCAAUGGGCGAAAGCCUGACGGAGCAAUACCGCGUGAGGGAAGAAGGCUCUUGGGUUGUAAACCUCUUUUCUUAGGGAAGAAAAAAAUGACGGUACCUAAGGAAUAAGCAUCGGCUAACUCCGUGCCAGCAGCCGCGGUAAUACGGAGGAUGCAAGCGUUAUCCGGAAUGAUUGGGCGUAAAGCGUCCGCAGGUGGUUUAUCAAGUUUGCGGUUAAAGGUUCUGGCUCAACCAGAGACAAGCCGUGAAAACUGAUAGACUAGAGUAUGGUAGGGGCAGAGGGAAUUCCCAGUGUAGCGGUGAAAUGCGUAGAGAUUGGGAAGAACACCGGUGGCGAAAGCGCUCUGCUAGGCCAAAACUGACACUGAGGGACGAAAGCUAGGGGAGCGAAUGGGAUUAGAUACCCCAGUAGUCCUAGCCGUAAACGA
This 757-nucleotide ribosomal RNA is filed under the name uncultured bacterium. Its description in RNAcentral is "bacterial SSU rRNA". It matches the Rfam family "Bacterial small subunit ribosomal RNA", at positions 10 to 809 of the family's 1533-position model. The record is from RNAcentral.